AUGAACGCUGGCGGCGUGCCUAAUACAUGCAAGUCGAGCGAACAGACGAGGAGCUUGCUCCUCUGACGUUAGCGGCGGACAGGUGAGUAACACGUGGAUAACCUACCUAUAAGACUGGGAUAACUUCGGGAAACCGGAGCUAAUACCGGAUAAUAUAUUGAACCGCAUGGUUCAAUAGUGAAAGACGGUUUUGCUGUCACUUAUAGAUGGAUCCGCGCCGCAUUAGCUAGUUGGUAAGGUAACGGCUUACCAAGGCAACGAUGCGUAGCCGACCUGAGAGGGUGAUCGGCCACACUGGAACUGAGACACGGUCCAGACUCCUACGGGAGGCAGCAGUAGGGAAUCUUCCGCAAUGGGCGAAAGCCUGACGGAGCAACGCCGCGUGAGUGAUGAAGGUCUUCGGAUCGUAAAACUCUGUUAUUAGGGAAGAACAAAUGUGUAAGUAACUAUGCACGUCUUGACGGUACCUAAUCAGAAAGCCACGGCUAACUACGUG
Molecule: ribosomal RNA, 496 nt
Filed under: uncultured bacterium
Lineage: Bacteria
Description: partial 16S ribosomal RNA
Rfam family: Bacterial small subunit ribosomal RNA
Source: RNAcentral